RNAcentral lists this long non-coding RNA (276 nucleotides) under Citrus maxima (pomelo). RNAcentral's name for it is "long non-coding RNA (CMAX_LNC004073)". The record is from RNAcentral. Lineage: Eukaryota; Viridiplantae; Streptophyta; Magnoliopsida; Sapindales; Rutaceae.
UAUAACCCUAGAUCGGCACGACAACAGCAAUCUCCCUCACGCACAAAUCAUUCAAGGCUCACGCAUGGGAGUCUAUCUCUCUCGCAGCCUCUCACGGUCACGCCGACGGCCCGUCGCCGUCAUGGAGCAUCCAACGCACGGUCAGUCCCUUACGGUCUCACUCUCACCGUCAACCGCCGCUAGCACCCAUCACUCACGAAUCAACCGCUGCUAGUCAUCUCAUUCAUCUCGCCAGUAAUUGCUGCCUCUCUCCAUUGUUGCUAUCACGCCAGUGAA